This 268-nucleotide ribosomal RNA is filed under the name Butyrivibrio fibrisolvens. RNAcentral describes it as "partial 16S ribosomal RNA". It matches the Rfam family "Bacterial small subunit ribosomal RNA", at positions 545 to 811 of the family's 1533-position model. The record is from RNAcentral. Lineage: Bacteria; Bacillati; Bacillota; Clostridia; Lachnospirales; Lachnospiraceae.
CCGGAUUACUGGGUUGUAAAUGGAGCGUAUGCGGUUUUUACAAGUCUGAUGUGAAAGCCCGGGGUUCAAUUAACGGUAUUGCAUUGGAAACUGUAGAACUAGAGUGUCCGAGGGGUAAGAGGAAUUUCUAGUGUAGCGGUGAAAUGUGUAUAUAUUUGGAGGAACACCAGUGGCGAAGGCGGCUUACUGCACGAUUUCUGACGCUGAGGCUCGAAAGCGUGGGGAGCAAACCGCUUACAUACUCUGUUAUUCCACGCCGUAAACGAUU